This 710-nucleotide long non-coding RNA is filed under the name Brassica rapa (field mustard). Its description in RNAcentral is "long non-coding RNA (BRAP_LNC000401)". The record is from RNAcentral. Lineage: Eukaryota; Viridiplantae; Streptophyta; Magnoliopsida; Brassicales; Brassicaceae.
GAUGAACCAUAUUUUAAGGCUGUCCAAUAUAUUUCAGUGGCAUGGAUAGUUAAUAAGUCUAGUUAACAAAGAGCUUUUAAUAAAGGAGGCUGAGGACACCUGACAGGCUGCCACGUCAGGAGGUUCUUCUGUAAAUAACUUACAUUGUGAAGGUUACUCUUAUCCCAAUGUUCCCCGAUUAAUAUAUAAGGGAUUUAAAAAAACAAUUGUGUAUAUGUGUGUUUUAUUAUAUAUGUAAUUUAUAAUGAAAGAUUAUGUGUAUUUGGGAAGUUUUAUCAUUACGACGUAGUUUUGUUAGAGCAUCUCCAAUGGUGAUUCAUUUUUUAAUUUUUGUUUAAUUUUUUGCUCCAUUGAUGCUUCAUUUUUUUUUUCAUUUCUUCAUUUUUUGAAGAAUUGAACAGAAUUUAAAUACUAUUCACUUCUUCAUUUUUUGAAGAUACACUUUUUUUAAUUACGGAUUGGUCCCUCUUGUUCUUAGUUUUUACUUAAAUAAACUAUAAGAGCUAAUAUUAUCCAUUUAAAAUAUUAAAUAUACUAGAAACAUGUUUUUUUACUAAUAUUUAGAUGAAACAUAAAUAAUAUAAAAACUGAAAGACUUGAACAACAUCAAUCUAAAUAUUCCAGUUCUAGAGGUUGAUAUCGAAGAGCAUGAUAAUAUUCGUUUUCAAGAUUUUUUGGCUCGAUUUAGAAGAAUUAAAUAUCAAUAAGCA